AAUUGAUUUUAUGCUUGCAUAAAUGAUUUUUGGAUUCGGAGCGAGUGGCGAACUGGUGAGUAACACGUGGGUAACCUGCCCCGAAGCGGGGGAUAACAUUUGGAAACAAGUGCUAAUACCGCAUAAUUAGUUGGAACCGCAUGGUUCCAACUUGAAAGAUGGCUCUGCUAUCACUUUGGGAUGGACCCGCGCCGUAUUAGUUAGUUGGUGAGAUAAAAGCCCACCAAGACGAUGAUACGUAGCCGACCUGAGAGGGUAAUCGGCCACAUUGGGACUGAGACACGGCCCAGACUCCUACGGGAGGCAGCAGUAGGGAAUCUUCCACAAUGGACGAAAGUCUGAUGGAGCAACGCCGCGUGAGUGAUGAAGGUUUUCGGAUCGUAAAACUCUGUUGUUAAAGAAGAACAAGUGUUAGAGUAACUGUUAACACUUUGACGGUAUUUAACCAGAAAGCCACGGCUAACUACGUGCCAGCAGCCGCGGUAAUACGUAGGUGGCAAGCGUUGUCCGGAUUUAUUGGGCGUAAAGCGAGCGCAGGCGGUUUUGUAAGUCUGCUGUGAAAGCCCUCAGCUCAACUGAGGAAGUGCAGUGGAAACUACAAAACUUGAGUACAGAAGAGGAAAGUGGAACUCCAUGUGUAGCGGUGAAAUGCGUAGAUAUAUGGAAGAACACCAGUGGCGAAGGCGGCUUUCUGGUCUGUUACUGACGCUGAGGCUCGAAAGCAUGGGUAGCGAACAGGAUUAGAUACCCUGGUAGUCCAUGCCGUAAACGAUGAAUACUAGGUGUUGGAGGGUUUCCGCCCCUUCAGUGCCGCAGCUAACGCAUUAAGUAUUCGCCCUGGGGAGUACGACCGCAAGGUUGAAACUCAAAGGAAUUGACGGGGGCCCGCACAAGUGGUGGAGCAUGUGGUUUAAUUCGAUGCUACGCGAAGAACCUUACCAGCUCUUGACAUCUUCUGCCAACCCAAGAGAUUGGGCGUUCCCUUCGGGGACAGAAUGACAGGUGGUGCAUGGUUGUCGUCAGCUCGUGUCGUGAGAUGUUGGGUUAAGUCCCGCAACGAGCGCAACCCUUAUUAUUAGUUGCCAGCAUUUAGUUGGGCACUCUAGUGAGACUGCCGGUGAUAAACCGGAGGAAGGUGGGGACGACGUCAAAUCAUCAUGCCCCUUAUGAGCUGGGCUACACACGUGCUACAAUGGAUGGUACAACGAGUCGCGAAACCGCGAGGUCAAGCUAAUCUCUUAAAGCCAUUCUCAGUUCGGAUUGCAGGCUGCAACUCGCCUGCAUGAAGUUGGAAUCACUAGUAAUCGUGGAUCAGCAUGCCACGGUGAAUACGUUCCCGGGCCUUGUACACACCGCCCGUCACACCAUGAGAGUUUGUAACACCCAAAGAC
RNAcentral lists this ribosomal RNA (1391 nucleotides) under Apilactobacillus kunkeei. Its description in RNAcentral is "bacterial SSU rRNA". It matches the Rfam family "Bacterial small subunit ribosomal RNA", at positions 60 to 1428 of the family's 1533-position model. The record is from RNAcentral. Lineage: Bacteria; Bacillati; Bacillota; Bacilli; Lactobacillales; Lactobacillaceae.